RNAcentral lists this transfer RNA (77 nucleotides) under Pseudomonas aeruginosa 2192. RNAcentral's name for it is "tRNA-Arg". It matches the Rfam family "tRNA". Rfam says of the family: Transfer RNA (tRNA) molecules are approximately 80 nucleotides in length. Lineage: Bacteria; Pseudomonadati; Pseudomonadota; Gammaproteobacteria; Pseudomonadales; Pseudomonadaceae. The record is from RNAcentral.
GCAUCAGUAUGUCAACUGGAUAGAGUACUGCCCUCCGAAGGCAGGGGUCGUGGGUUCGAAUCCCGCCGGAUGCGCCA